This 8023-nucleotide long non-coding RNA is filed under the name Medicago truncatula (barrel medic). Its description in RNAcentral is "long non-coding RNA (MTRU_LNC001457)". Lineage: Eukaryota; Viridiplantae; Streptophyta; Magnoliopsida; Fabales; Fabaceae. The record is from RNAcentral.
AUUCUAAAUAUUUAUAGGACCAUUUACUCGAUUAACCUUUUUAAAUAUAACCCUAUUUUAAUGUUGGACCAAUGAUUCAAAUGUGACCUCAAAUUGGCAGGGCAUGUCUAUGCUUACAUUAUCAGUUUCUCUUCCAAGCCUAAAACCACCUGAGUGUCAUGAAAUGGAUGUGACAAAAUGCAAGGAAGCUUCUACAUUACAGCUAGUUGUGUUCUAUGGUGCACUCUACAUUCUAGCAGUGGGAACAGGUGGAACAAAACCUAACAUUUCCACUAUUGGUGCUGAUCAAUUUGAUGAGUUUGACACAAAAGAGAAGAAACACAAACUCUCAUUCUUCAACUGGUGGAUGUUCAGCAUCUUCAUUGGAACCCUUUUUGCAAAUUCAGUUUUAGUCUACAUACAAGAUAAUGUUGGUUGGACUCUUGGGUAUGCACUUCCAACUCUUGGACUUGCAAUAUCUAUCAUAAUAUUUUUGGCAGGCACACCAUUCUAUAGACAUAAAUUACCUACAGGAAGUCCCUUUACUAAAAUGGCUAAGGUAAUAGUGGCUGCUAUGAAGAAAUGGAAUGUGCCUAUUCCUAGUGACCCUAAAGAACUAUAUGAACUUGAUUUGGAAGAGUAUGCAAAGAAAGGAAGUGUUAGAAUUGAUUCAACUCCCACAUUGAGGUAUGAGUUCCAUCAUAGUUUCUUAGCUAUCUUCAUGUUUGAUUUAAACACUAUUUUAUUUCACAAAUACAUAUAUGUAUAUGUUAUUAACCAAGUGAUUGGACAACAUUGACUAUUAAGUUUAAAUUAAGGACAAAUCAUUCAGGAAAACUCGAAUUUGAAUUUUGAUUAUAACAGUCCAUAACGAGUCCCCUUUCCCUAGGAAUUGGAGGUUUAAUAAACGAAAAUGCAUGUCAUUCGGUAUGUCUUGUGUUGUAUGCAACAUGGCAAAUAAAUAUCACUUAUUUUUUAAUUGUGACUUUUCUUGUCGAGUUUUGGCAUGUUAAUUGCAACUAGAGAGAUGUGUGUCCUCGUGAGCUUAACUCAGUUGGUAGAGACAAUGCAUAAUAUAUGUGUAUGUAAAUGUUAAUGUCGCAAAUUUGCCUAAACUUAUACUAACAUUGUUAUAAUUUGAAUUUUCAUCAUAAAAUAAAAAAAAAAAAUAUGUAUGCAGAUUCCUCAACAAGGCAUGUGUCAAGACUAAUUCAAGUACUAGUACAGCGAAAUUGUGCCCAGUUACACAUGUAGAGGAGACCAAACAAAUGAUAAGAAUGAUCCCAAUCAUGGCUACUACAUUAAUUCCUAGUACAAUGAUUGCUCAAAUAAAUACAUUGUUUGUGAAACAAGGAACAACACUUGAUAGAGGCAUUGGGAGUUUCAAAAUUCCACCAGCAAGUUUAGGUACAUUUGUGACAAUAUCAAUGCUUAUAAGUGUUGUGCUCUAUGAUCGUUUCUUUGUAAAGAUCAUGCAAAGAUGGACUAAAAACCCUAGAGGAAUUACUCUCCUUCAAAGGAUGGGCAUAGGAAUCAUAAUUCAUAUAGUGAUUAUGGUAGUUGCAACUUUCACUGAAAGAUAUAGGCUUAGUGUAGCCAAAGAACAUGGAGUAGUUGAAAAUGGAGGAUUAGUUCCAUUGAGCAUAUUCAUUUUACUCCCUCAAUUUUUACUUAUGGGAACAGCUGAUGCAUUUUUAGAGGUUGCUAAAAUUGAGUUCUUCUAUGAUCAAGCUCCAGAAAGCAUGAAGAGCUUGGGCACUUCUUAUUCAAUGACUAGCUUAGGCAUUGGAAAUUUUAUUAGUACUUUUCUUCUAUCAACAGUUUCACACAUCACUGAGGAACAUGGUCACAAAGGGUGGAUUUUGAAUAAUCUUAAUGCUUCUCAUCUUGAUUACUACUAUGCAUUUUUGGCUAUACUAAAUGUCUUGAACUUUAUCUUCUUUUGUAUUGUUACGAAGUAUUAUGUAUAUAGAGCUGAAAUUUCAGAUUCCAUAAAAGUGCUUGCAGAAGAAUUGAAGGAGAAGACAAGUGUUGUGUCAUACCAAGUGAUUCCAAGAGAUUAGUUUAUUGGUUCUUGGGUAGUAUUGUAACAUUAAAUGUAUAACAUCCAAAUGUAUUUGAACAAAACUCAUGACAUGGAGAAAGAAGAAGAUGAACUGAAUGUGCUAAACCGAAUUAUAAUUCAUUGUAACAGAAAAUUUACAAGUGACAAGCUUAUAUACACUUGAUCAGUGUCAACCCAUCAUAACUGUUGUAAUUAACUAAAUGAGCGCUAAAUGAAAAUGAAAUUACAAGUGAAAUGCAACUAACUAAAAUGUGACUUGAGUUUCAAGCUAUGUAACUUGUGCUUCACGCUUUGUCUUAUCUUCCUCUUCUCUAUGUAUUGCUAAUAUCCCCUCGCAUGCUGGAGGUUGGUAGCUGUCUAGCAUCCCAAGCUUGACAAUGCGAUCAUGAAACUGUUUCGGUCAUGUCAAGCAUCCUACAUUGGGAGUUUCCUGAAUCAUCUUAACCUUUUCGGUAGUCUGCUGAACAACUUUUGGUCCAAUCAUAGAAUUUUCUCCCGACUCAUACCAACACAAUGGUGUUCUACAUCUUGGUCCAAUCAUAGUCCUAGUAGUGCUUGUUUUGCAUGUUUGAUGGAAUAAGGUGAAAAAUUGCACCGGAGAUCUAGGAAGCUACAAUGUAGAGUAUGAAGAUGCAUCGCUCAAUAUACAAGAAUAUGUAGCGCAGCGGAUCGCCAGCCAGGGUCGUACAAUAGUACGAACUCAUGGGACCCUUAUUAUCAUUGCUUUAUGAGUAACUUUUAUGAGUUGGCGCCAAUUCUUAGUAGUGUACUUGUAGUGAGUACAAUAUAGAAAACUAGGGUUUAGUAUCUGUUUAGAUCAUGCCUCGAGAAUUAUCACAAGGUGGGUAUUUAUAGCUUUUUUGGGUUUUAUCUUUUCAUGACUUAGGCCUAGAGAAUUUUACACUUGUGAAUUGAGUGGUCAAGUUGCAGCUAGGGUUAGCAGCACUGGAGUUCUCACUCCAUCUCAUCUUCUCCAUAGAUGAGCAUGAGUGCUAGUUCUUAGGGGGCGUUUGUUUGACGGUUUAAAAUUUCAUUCCUGGGAUUAAUCUUUCCUGGGAAUUAAUAAUGGGCAUCUUAUUCCUGAGUAUUUUUAGAAAAUGGUGUUUGGUAAAUAAUUGUCAGAUUCAUGGGAAUUGUUUGUGAUAGUGGGUAUAUGGGUAGUUAUUUCCAUUUUAGUACCAUUUACAUGGGAAUCUUUUAUUCCCGUCCACUUUCUUUGGGAAUAAAAUCAUGGGUAAGUGGAAGUUAUUUUUUUCCUAGGAAUUCUUUAUUCCCGGGAAUUAUUUUUUAACUUUGUAACAAACAUAGGAAUCUAUAAUUCCAACCUCCAUGUUCCUGGGAAUAAUUUUUUAAACCAGGAAACAAACACCCCCUUAGUGAUUUAGAGUUAGGAUUACUUAGAUGUUGCUUCAAGCUCACCUUAUUCCUUGUUUGAUUGUAAUUUGUUAUUAACUCUAUAUUAUCUAUCAAUUUAACUUUUCAUUUAUGUUUUAUUUCAUCUUCAUCUCGGUGGUUAAGCUCAUCAUGAGCUAAACCUCUUUUUUCCAUUUAGACAUGACGAGGUUAUAAUAUUCUUCGCUUAAGAUUUAUAAAGCUAUAUUUUUUUUUGAAAGGAUAAAGCUAUAUGUUAUUGAUUCUUUCAAACAAACUAUUUUAACCCAAAAUCUUUGAAAGUAAAACUUGAUCAUUUUUAUUUUUGAUGCUAUAGUUUCAUGAAAGUGAAAUGAUGACAUGGGAAUGAAAAAUGUUUGUUUUAUAUCACAUUCAAAUAAAAUUUAGCAAAUAUUGUUACUAUUGUAAUUGAGUUAUGCAUAGUUUAAUUGAAUUUAAAUAAUUUUAUUUUAAUUAAAGAUUUAUAAAAUAUUAUAAAAAAAUACAAAUUGUAAUUACAAUUUUAUAAGUGAAAGGUAUAACUCAAUCCUCUAUCCCGUUUAUAUAUAUAUUUUUAGACAAAUGAAAAUAUAUAUAAAUUAAUAUUUAGGGAUUAAAAUUAAUUUAAUGAUAACAUUAAAUUAACUCCCUAAAAAAACAUUAAAUUAAUAAAUUUAUAUUUUAAAAUACUUAAACAUUAGCUCAUAUAAACUUUAUUAUGAAUUAAAAAUGUCUUUUAAUAUCAUUUUACAUUUAUCAGUUAGUUGAACUGUUAAUUUUACCAAACAUUUCAAGUAGUUAUCAGUCAUCAUCCAUAAACUAUGAGCUAUUAACUAUAAACUAUAUGCUAUCAACCAUUUGCUACAAGUUAUCAGCCAGUUUAUCAGUCAUCCGCUAUUUUGAUCAAACAGAGCUUAAAUAACUAUACGAGUUUUGCAUAAAUUUAGUAGUGAAAACCAUACGAGAUAGAUCGUUACCUUUUUUUAAAUAAAAAAACCAGUAAAAAACAUGUGUUUUAUAUAUUUUUAUUUUUUUAAAAACGUGUUAUAAAAUAGCUUUCUAAGUUUUUUUUAUGCAUAAGUGAUAAGUGGUCCAUGACGGUUACCAGUUAGAGCUAGUUGGUUAGCAAUACUACAUUUUAUAAAGACUAUGGCAUUUCUUUAAUGGUCAUGUAUGGUAAUGCAAGUAUAUAUUGGAAUUCUUUGUAUUAAAUGAAAUGAAACAGUACUAUAGAGCUUUCAAAGUGCAGAAAAAUACCAUGCUUGUUAUGGAAACAAGUCCAUUUUAGUAUAAUGAUAAAUUGCUUAAAAAAAGAGAUAAACAAAUACUGACAAGAGAAUAUCAGAAAGGAGAAUGGGAAUGAACUCGAGAGAGAGAUGGGGGAUCUUCAGUAAUUUUCCAACAAGAUUUCUGUUGGGAUAUUUCACACGUAUUCCUCUACUUCAAGAAUAGUCUAACACAUUUGAAAUAGCUCGAUGGUGUUGACUUGAUACCUUGAAGUGUAUUCCUCUUAAAAUCUUACGUUCGAUGUUCGCAGGUGUUGAUUUUAAUGGGCUAAAUCCAUAGAGAGCUAUGCUUUGGUUUUAAACGGUCCCCAUAAGUGGACGGUAGAAUUGAACUUCUUAAAUUAGUCGGUUCAUUCCUUCAAAAAAAAAAAAAAAUUGUCGGUUCAUAGACUUUGAUACCGAAUUUUUUCUUUGAAAAAAAAAACCCUAACCACUCUGUUUAUGUCACAUAUCCCACAUGAUUUAUGUAGAGAUAUUUCACACGUAUUCUUCUACUUGGUUCCACCAUUUGUGGAUCAUUAGCCAUGUUUGCCCUACUUUCACUCAUGACAGGUCACUUUAAAACUGAGUCCAAAUUGGCUUGGGAGAACUAGUUAGUUAUAGCUAGAAAAACAAGCAAUAUUACUUGUUCUUACUCUUGAUUUUGUUCUCCCUCAAAAAAGGUUAGCAUGGAAGAGGGAAGGGUAGUGAGUGAGUUCACAGAAGAUGGAACUGUUGAUCUUAAAGGGAAACCUAUUCUCAAAUCUAAAACUGGUUGUUGGAAAGCUUGUUCCUUCUUUGUUGGUAUGCCAUUUUCUCUUGCUCUCUCAUGUAUGCUCAUUUUUGUUUGUUCAAUUUUUAUUUUGUUCAAAUAUUAUAAAUGCUGUUGAAAAUGGUUUGUUAACAAUGAAGUAAAAUAGUACCCUGAAUUUAAUCCUUCCCAUUAAAGAAACCACCCCAAGCAAAGAAACCACUUCAAUUUAACACCUCAACUUAAAAUAUGACAUGAUACAUUUUUAUGAACUCUAUUGCUCUCAGCGUAUCAUUUUCGUAUCAUUUUUAAGUGUUUCACUUGAAUCAUGCACAAUUUUUAAGAAAAUGAUUAAUAUAUGUCAAAAUUUAUUAUUUCGUUUACAAUAUUUCGAAAUUAAUGGUGGAGUCAACAAUGCUUCGAAAUUAAUGGAGGAGUCAAUUCUUGAUGGAGAGGUAGGCCAUAUAGUACCUUUGCGUAUAAAAAGAGAUGCACUACCAAGAAUGCUUGUUUACUGUUUUUCUUGGUAAAAAAAAAAUAGUCAAAUAAGUUUCUGGUCCCUGAAAAUUUUUAAAUUUUGAUUUAUAGUCCUCCAAAUUCUAUUAUCAACUUUUUGUCCAUUAAAUAUUUUGGGUUAAUAGUGUUUUUCACCCCUGUAAUAUAUGUCAUUUUCGGUUUUCGCCCCUAUAAAAUUUUCGGUUUGAUUUGCACCCUCGUAAAAAUUUUAUUUUCCGGAAAACACCCUUAAUAGGCCAUUCAAAAACCAAAAUUUCUUGAAAAAAAAUUCUGAAAAUGGCCUAUUAGGGGUGUUUUCCGGAAAAUAAAAAUUUUACGANAGGCCAUUCAAAAACCAAAAUUUCUUGAAAAAAAAUUCUGAAAAUGGCCUAUUAGGGGUGUUUUCCGGAAAAUAAAAAUUUUACGAGGGUGCAAAUCAAACCGAAAAUUUUAUAAGGGCGAAAACCAGAAAUGAAAUAUAUUAAAGGGGUGAAAAACACUAUUAACCCAAAUAUUUUUAUCACCACUUUUGACCCAUAUUUUUAAAUAAACUCAUGUCUAUAACCAUUGCUUUUGGACAGCACUUGCACUAGAAAGUUAGAAAAAUACCCUAAGUUCACAUCUCCUUUGUUUAGCCAUUUAGAACGUCUCAGUGUCUCACUAUGCAGUGAAUAAUUAAAUGUAAUAUUGAUAAAAUAAUAAAUGUUACAUUCAACUUUUAAAAGCAACAAAUAAAUAGUUACACAUUUUUUUUAUUGCAAUCAUGACAAUUAGAAAGGAAUAAAGAGAGGUUUGUAAGACCUAACUCAACGGACAACGUUAAUAUGGUUAAGUUGAACAUCUUUAUUUGUCUGUUUCGGUUACAAAUGAUGCUUGCCGUUUUGUUUAUAGACCCAAAAAAAUUAAAAUAAAGAGAGUAUUAACUUCAUCAAGGUACAAACUUAAAUCAUUUUUUCAUUUUAUGUAAAACAUUGGACCACACAUUGAAUGAUAUGUUUUUGUUGAUGAAAUUACAUUGAAUUAUAUUGCUUUAUUUGUGAUGUAGUGUAUGAAGUAUUUGAGAGAAUGGCUUAUUAUGGGAUAUCAUCAAAUUUGAUCUUAUAUUUAACAAAUAAGCUUCAUCAAGGUACUGUGACCUCUUCUACCAAUGUCACCAAUUGGGCUGGCACCAUGUGGAUCACUCCAAUAUUAGGUGCUUAUGUUGCUGAUACCUACCUUGGCCGUUAUUGGACUUUUGUCACUGCCUCUUUCAUCUAUCUAUUGGUAUAUCUCAAUUCAUUACCAGCUUUAUAUCAUUAUAAUUGUAUAAUUUAUAAUUUUUCUUUGUCUCAAAUUAAUUGUUAUAUUAAAAUAUUAAAACUCAAAGUCAAUUUUUAGAAUAAUAAGUCUUGGUCAGACUUUACUCUUCUAGUCAAACUCCAUAUUACUUAAUCUCUUUCCCAUAAUAACUGAAAGGUUAACACAUAAAAAAUAUCAAUAAAAGAUCAAACGAGAAAUGUUACCUUAUACAUUAAAAGCUCAUUUUAAUAAAUCAAAUAUUUAUCGCGAAAGGAACUGUUGUGCGGAUCGGAUGGCUUCUCUUGGGCAUGAGUUGACUGGUGGUACGGUUUGGUUUGACAGAUUACCACCAUCGUUGUCUUUAGAUUUCUCUAGGGAUAUAUCUGGCUUGUCUAAUUACCGCUUUCCCUAAGAUUUCGGUUGUUUUUUUCCGCUUUGCAUUGUUUCGAGGGUUUUGGCCUAGUCCCUCCCUCUUGUAUAUAUAUUUUUCCUUUUUUAAUAAUAUAUAUGGAGUAGACAGCAUAGGAUAUAAGUCCCAAUGGGGUGCCAACCUAAUUGAGAUGUCUCUGGGCUCCUUGAUGUCUCAUCUACUUCUUGCCUUAUCCAAAAAUAAAUUAAAUAUAGAAAUAUUUUUAAUGUUGGAGCAAUGGUUCAAAUGUGCAAUUGGCAGGGUAUGUCUAUGCUUACACUAUCAGUUUCUCUUCCAAGCCUAAAACCACCUGAGUGUCAUGAAAUGGAUGUGACAAAAUGCAAGGAAGCUUCCACACUACAGCUAGUUGUGUUCUAUGGUGCACUCUACACUCUAGCAGUGGGAACAGG